This 582-nucleotide ribosomal RNA is filed under the name Triticum aestivum (bread wheat). RNAcentral's name for it is "partial small subunit ribosomal RNA". The record is from RNAcentral. Lineage: Eukaryota; Viridiplantae; Streptophyta; Magnoliopsida; Poales; Poaceae.
CUACGCGGAACUGGCGUCGUUGUCUCGGUCGACACCGGGAGAGGUGUCUGGAGUCGCGGACGGAUCGGAGUCGGUGGCCGCGCCGAGCACCCGAGGGGCGGGGCGCCCUGGGUCGGGAUUGGCCCCUGCGGACUCGCCGAGGGAGCCAACCCCCGGUGUGGAGGAGGCGGCGGCGGUGUCGUCGUCUCCCCGCGCCCUCUUCACGCCCCGCGGCGCGGCUUCCACGGAGGGAGACGACGAGGUUGCGGAGGCAGGCGUCGCGGACGAAGAGUGGUCGGCGUUGGCGGCGGCGGGCUUGCCGACAUCAGCGAAGGAGUCCGCGCGGGCACCGGGGGUCGUGGAGGCAGAGGCGUCGUCGGGGUCGUCGUCGUCGUCGUCGAGCCCGUGCUCUUCCCUUCUUUUUUGCGCUUGGCGAUAGCGAGCUCUUCCCGAGCGUUCCAAUCAUCGAAUAAUCGCAGGAACGUGGGGGAGAGCUCCUCGUCCAUGGCGGUGGUGUCCUUGUAGAGGCCGAAGACGUGUCCGGGGAAGUCCGGGUCGCCUGACACGGCUGCCCCGACCAGAGCCCACGUCCCGUCCCCCGAG